RNAcentral lists this ribosomal RNA (254 nucleotides) under uncultured bacterium. Its description in RNAcentral is "partial 16S ribosomal RNA". It matches the Rfam family "Bacterial small subunit ribosomal RNA", at positions 524 to 776 of the family's 1533-position model. The record is from RNAcentral.
UACGUAGGGCGCAAGCGUUGUCCGGAAUUAUUGGGCGUAAAGAGCUCGUAGGCGGUUUGUCGCGUCUGCUGUGAAAACCUAAGGCUCAACCUUGGGCUUGCAGUGGGUACGGGCAGACUAGAGUGCGGUAGGGGUGACUGGAAUUCCUGGUGUAGCGGUGAAAUGCGCAGAUAUCAGGAGGAACACCGAUGGCGAAGGCAGGUCUCUGGGCAUUAACUGACGCUGGAGGAGCGAAAGCAUGGGGAGCGAACAGG